ACGAACGCUGGCGGCAUGCCUAACACAUGCAAGUCGAACGAGGGCUUCGGCCCUAGUGGCGCACGGGUGAGUAACGCGUGGGAACCUGCCCUGUGGUACGGAAUAACUCCGGGAAACUGGAGCUAAUACCGUAUGUGUCCUGCGGGACAAAGAUUUAUCGCCAUGGGAUGGGCCCGCGUAGGAUUAGCUUGUUGGUGGGGUAACGGCCUACCAAGGCAACGAUCCUUAGCUGGUCUGAGAGGAUGAUCAGCCACACUGGGACUGAGACACGGCCCAGACUCCUACGGGAGGCAGCAGUGGGGAAUAUUGGACAAUGGGCGCAAGCCUGAUCCAGCAAUGCCGCGUGAGUGAUGAAGGCCUUCGGGUUGUAAAGCUCUUUCGCACGCGACGAUGAUGACGGUAGCGUGAGAAGAAGCCCCGGCUAACUUCGU
Molecule: ribosomal RNA, 431 nt
Filed under: uncultured bacterium
Lineage: Bacteria
Description: bacterial SSU rRNA
Rfam family: Bacterial small subunit ribosomal RNA
Source: RNAcentral